Picea glauca (white spruce) is the source of this 122-nucleotide non-coding RNA. The record is from Rfam. NCBI's taxonomy places the organism in Eukaryota, Viridiplantae, Streptophyta, Pinopsida, Pinales, Pinaceae.
AUGUGAUGUAAUUCCUACAACGAUGAUGCAUCGAAUCCCAUUAGAAAUUUGUAGUUAAUCACACUUGGGAUAGAGUAGUAGUGGGAUGGAUGACCUCUCAAGAAGUCCUAUUAUUUAACAUG